Molecule: ribosomal RNA, 748 nt
Filed under: uncultured bacterium
Lineage: Bacteria
Description: bacterial SSU rRNA
Rfam family: Bacterial small subunit ribosomal RNA
Source: RNAcentral
CUGAAGCACGAAAAGCGUGGGUAUCAAACAGGGAUUAGAUACCCUGGUAGUCCCCGCUGUAAACGAUGAUUACUAGUUGUUUGCGAUAGACUGCAAGUGACACAGCGAAAGCGUUAAGUAAUCCACCUGGGGAGUACGCCGGCAACGGUGAAACUCAAAGGAAUUGACGGGGGCCCGCACAAGCGGAGGAACAUGUGGUUUAAUUCGAUGAUACGCGAGGAACCUUACCCGGGUUUGAACGCAUAGGGACAGCAGGUGAAAGUCUGUUUCCAGCAAUGGCCCUUUGCGAGGUGCUGCAUGGUUGUCGUCAGCUCGUGCCGUGAGGUGUCGGCUUAAGUGCCAUAACGAGCGCAACCCUUAUCGUCAGUUACCAGCAAGUAAAGUUGGGGACUCUGGCGAGACUGCCGGCGUAAGCUGUGAGGAAGGUUGGGAUGACGUCAAAUCAGCACGGCCCUUACAUCCGGGGCGACACACGUGUUACAAUGGCACGGACAAAGAGCGGCUACCGGGCGACCGGAUGCCAAUCUCCAAACCGUGUCUCAGUUCGGAUCGGAGUCUGCAACUCGACUCCGUGAAGCUGGAUUCGCUAGUAAUCGCGCAUCAGCCAUGGCGCGGUGAAUACGUUCCCGGGCCUUGUACACACCGCCCGUCAAGCCAUGGGAGUUGGGGGUACCUGAAGUCCGUAACCGCAAGGAUCGGCCUAGGGUAAAACCAGUGACUGGGGCUAAGUCGUAACAAGGUAACCGUA